GGGUUGUGAGGUUAAGCGACUAAGCGUACACGGUGGAUGCCCUGGCAGUCAGAGGCGAUGAAGGACGUGCUAAUCUGCGAAAAGCGUCGGUAAGGUGAUAUGAACCGUUACAGCCGGCGAUGUCCGAAUGGGGAAACCCAGUGCAAUUCGUUGCACUAUCGUUAACUGAAUACAUAGGUUAACGAGGCGAACCGGGGGAACUGAAACAUCUAAGUACCCCGAGGAAAAGAAAUCAACCGAGAUUCCCCCAGUAGCGGCGAGCGAACGGGGAGCAGCCCAGAGUCUGAAUCAGCUUGUGUGUUAGUGGAACGGUCUGGAAAGUCCGACGGUACAGGGUGAUAGUCCCGUACACCAAAAUGCACAGGUUGUGAACUCGAAGAGUAGGGCGGGACACGUGGUAUCCUGUCUGAAUAUGGGGGGACCAUCCUCCAAGGCUAAAUACUCCUGACUGACCGAUAGUGAACCAGUACCGUGAGGGAAAGGCGAAAAGAACCACGGCGAGGGGAGUGAAAAAGAACCUGAAACCGUGUACGUACAAGCAGUGGGAGCACCUUCGGGUGUGACUGCGUACCUUUUGUAUAAUGGGUCAGCGACUUAUAUUCGGUAGCAAGGUUAACCGUAUAGGGGAGCCGCAGGGAAACCGAGUCUUAACUGGGUGUUAAGUUGCAGGGUAUAGACCCGAAACCAGGUGAUCACGCCAUGGGCAGGAUGAAGGUCGGGGAACACGAACUGGAGGACCGAACCGACUAAUGUUGAAAAAUUAGCGGAUGACUUGUGGCUGGGGGUGAAAGGCCAAUCAAACCGGGAGAUAGCUGGUUCUCCCCGAAAGCUAUUUAGGUAGCGCCUCGUGAACUCAUCUUCGGGGGUAGAGCACUGUUUCGGCUAGGGGGUCAUCCCGACUUACCAACCCGAUGCAAACUACGAAUACCGAAGAAUGUUAUCACGGGAGACACACGGCGGGUGCUAACGUCCGUCGUGAAGAGGGAAACAACCCAGACCGCCAGCUAAGGUCCCAAAGUCAUGGUUAAGUGGGAAACGAUGUGGGAAGGCACAGACAGCCAGGAUGUUGGCUUAGAAGCAGCCAUCAUUUAAAGAAAGCGUAAUAGCUCACUGGUCGAGUCGGCCUGCGCGGAAGAUGUAACGGGGCUAAACCAUGCACCGAAGCUGCGGCAGCGACACUAUGUGUUGUUGGGUAGGGGAGCGUUCUGUAAGCCUGCGAAGGUGUGCUGUGAGGCAUGCUGGAGGUAUCAGAAGUGCGAAUGCUGACAUAAGUAACGAUAAAGCGGGUGAAAAGCCCGCUCGCCGGAAGACCAAGGGUUCCUGUCCAACGUUAAUCGGGGCAGGGUGAGUCGACCCCUAAGGCGAGGCCGAAAGGCGUAGUCGAUGGGAAACAGGUUAAUAUUCCUGUACUUGGUGUUACUGCGAAGGGGGGACGGAGAAGGCUAUGUUAGCCGGGCGACGGUUGUCCCGGUUUAAGCAUGUAGGCUGGUUAUCCAGGCAAAUCCGGAUAAUCAAGGCUGAGGUGUGAUGACGAGGCACUACGGUGCUGAAGUAACAAAUGCCCUGCUUCCAGGAAAAGCCUCUAAGCAUCAGGUAACAUCAAAUCGUACCCCAAACCGACACAGGUGGUCAGGUAGAGAAUACCAAGGCGCUUGAGAGAACUCGGGUGAAGGAACUAGGCAAAAUGGUGCCGUAACUUCGGGAGAAGGCACGCUGGUGUGUAGGUGAAGUCCCUGCGGAUGGAGCUGAGACCAGUCGAAGAUACCAGCUGGCUGCAACUGUUUAUUAAAAACACAGCACUGUGCAAACACGAAAGUGGACGUAUACGGUGUGACGCCUGCCCGGUGCCGGAAGGUUAAUUGAUGGGGUUAUCCGUAAGGAGAAGCUCUUGAUCGAAGCCCCGGUAAACGGCGGCCGUAACUAUAACGGUCCUAAGGUAGCGAAAUUCCUUGUCGGGUAAGUUCCGACCUGCACGAAUGGCGUAAUGAUGGCCAGGCUGUCUCCACCCGAGACUCAGUGAAAUUGAACUCGCUGUGAAGAUGCAGUGUACCCGCGGCAAGACGGAAAGACCCCGUGAACCUUUACUAUAGCUUGACACUGAACAUUGAGCCUUGAUGUGUAGGAUAGGUGGGAGGCUUUGAAGCGUGGACGCCAGUCUGCGUGGAGCCAACCUUGAAAUACCACCCUUUAAUGUUUGAUGUUCUAACGUUGGCCCCUGACCGGGGUUGCGGACAGUGUCUGGUGGGUAGUUUGACUGGGGCGGUCUCCUCCCAAAGCGUAACGGAGGAGCACGAAGGUUAGCUAAUCCUGGUCGGACAUCAGGAGGUUAGUGCAAUGGCAUAAGCUAGCUUGACUGCGAGCGUGACGGCGCGAGCAGGUGCGAAAGCAGGUCAUAGUGAUCCGGUGGUUCUGAAUGGAAGGGCCAUCGCUCAACGGAUAAAAGGUACUCCGGGGAUAACAGGCUGAUACCGCCCAAGAGUUCAUAUCGACGGCGGUGUUUGGCACCUCGAUGUCGGCUCAUCACAUCCUGGGGCUGAAGUAGGUCCCAAGGGUAUGGCUGUUCGCCAUUUAAAGUGGUACGCGAGCUGGGUUUAGAACGUCGUGAGACAGUUCGGUCCCUAUCUGCCGUGGGCGCUGGAGAAUUGAGGGGGGCUGCUCCUAGUACGAGAGGACCGGAGUGGACGCAUCACUGGUGUUCGGGUUGUCAUGCCAAUGGCACUGCCCGGUAGCUAAAUGCGGAAGAGAUAAGUGCUGAAAGCAUCUAAGCACGAAACUUGCCCCGAGAUGAGUUCUCCCUGAGACUAUAAGUCUCCUGAAGGAACGUUAAAGACGAUGACGUUGAUAGGCCGGGUGUGUAAGCGCAGCGAUGCGUUGAGCUAACCGGUACUAAUGAACCGUGAGGCUUAACCUUACAACGCCGAAG
This 2923-nucleotide ribosomal RNA is filed under the name Klebsiella pneumoniae. RNAcentral's name for it is "23S ribosomal RNA". It matches the Rfam family "Bacterial large subunit ribosomal RNA". Lineage: Bacteria; Pseudomonadati; Pseudomonadota; Gammaproteobacteria; Enterobacterales; Enterobacteriaceae. The record is from RNAcentral.